AUUGAACGCUGGCGGCAGUCCUAACACAUGCAAGUCGAGCGAGCGGCGGACGGGUGAGUAAUGUAUGGGGAUCUGCCCGAUAGAGAGGGAUAACUACUGGAAACGGUGGCUAAUAACGCAUACUAACGGAAGGACACAUAUGGGAUUCGCUAGUAGGUGGGGGAAAGGCUCACCUAGGCGACGAUCUCUAGCGGGUCUGAGAGGAUGAGCAGCCACACUGGGACUGAGACACGGCCCAGACUCCGAAGGGAGGCAGCAGUGGGGAAUAUUGCACAAUGGGCGAAAGCCUGAUGCAGCCAUGCCGCGUGUAUGAAGAAGGCCUUAGGGGUGUAAAGUACUUUCAGCGGGGAGGCGUUACCCGCAGAAGAAGCACCGGCUAACUCCGUGCCAGCAGCCGCGGGAAUAC
This 406-nucleotide ribosomal RNA is filed under the name uncultured bacterium. Its description in RNAcentral is "partial 16S ribosomal RNA". It matches the Rfam family "Bacterial small subunit ribosomal RNA", at positions 29 to 526 of the family's 1533-position model. The record is from RNAcentral.